CUACUAAGAUUUUGCUAUAUCCGAUGAAAUAAUCGAGGUGACCAAAGUAACCCUAUUAAUUAGACAACUUACCAUCUGUUUUUUUUUUCAGCCUCCAACAUUAAUUAUUCACCUCUACUCCAUUAAUAUUCUUUAUCAACUUUCACAUUCUUUUUAUUAGGCAAUUUUUCAUAUAUUUUUCACACAUAGAAAGAAAGAAAAUGGAUGCUCCCCCAAAAUAUCAAAAUAUGUCAUAUUAUGAUAAUGUCCAAAGGCAACAUGAAGAAAAAGGAUGCCUCUAUGCUUGGUUUGUUAUUUUUUUUUUUUUUUAGUUUUACUUUAUUAGUGAAAAAUAAAUAAAAAUUAGUAGAGUUACAUGAGAAUUGACAUAAUUAUUUUAUUUUUUCAAGGACAUUUUCUGCUAAUUUUUUUUUAAUAUUUGAAGUUGAAGUCAAAAUUAUUGUUUGGACUUGAAUUUUACUUCUUCUUUUUGAUGUUUUGUGAGCGAAAAUCGGUAAUUAUUUCACUUGAGAUUGUUCGACAGUUAUAGCUCCGCCCCAAAUAGUUAAUCGUUUACUAAUUUGAGAUUGAUGUGUAGUUGAUUAAUAGAUAUAUAAGUAAAUUUAUAUAAAUAUUAUCAUGUUUAUUCUAUUUUUUUUUAUAUUUUUUAAUGUGAUUUUAUAAAUCUUGAAAAUGCAGUAUGUUUGCGAUGUGUUGCUGCUUCUGCUGCAAUGAAAGGACUUGUUGUUGCUGUUAGCACAAAUUAAUCAUCAUCGUCGUUGAUUAUGUUAUUCAAAUUCUUCAAAAAUAUUGUCUGAUGUGUGUGAUUCUCCAAAAAUUAUGUAUUUUUAUAUGAUUUGAUACGAAUACAAUAACAGUUUUUAAGAAUUCGAGCAAAAUAGAUGCAGAGUAGCUUGUAAUGUUGAUGUUUCGAUAAAAUUGGAUGUUAAUCGAUUAUACUGUGUUUUAUAUUCUUGUAAUGUAAUUAAUUUCUCUUACACUAAGUAUUGUAUCGUUACUUUACCUACAACGUUUGUUUUGAUUGUUACUUAAAAAUGUAUUGUAUUGUAUUGUUAAAUUUCGUUGUUACGUAACAAUAAAAACCCCUAUUUUAUGGAACAACCGAUUUGGUGUGUUCCCAUUGUUACUUAA
This 1131-nucleotide long non-coding RNA is filed under the name Solanum tuberosum (potato). RNAcentral's name for it is "long non-coding RNA (STUB_LNC011167)". The record is from RNAcentral. Lineage: Eukaryota; Viridiplantae; Streptophyta; Magnoliopsida; Solanales; Solanaceae.